Molecule: long non-coding RNA, 5131 nt
Filed under: Equus caballus (horse)
Lineage: Eukaryota; Metazoa; Chordata; Mammalia; Perissodactyla; Equidae
Description: lncRNA (ENSECAG00000049136.1)
Source: RNAcentral
CUUCAAAUGUCUUACAAUUUUAUUUGUCAAUUAUACCUCAAUAAAGCUGAAACAAAAAUUUGUGUCAGACUUAUAACCUACAGACAUGUAAGAUAAUAAGUUCGUUUUGUGUUAAGCCACUAAGUUUGUGAUAACUUUUUACAGCAGUAAUGGAAAACUAAUACAGGGAUUAAUAAAGCUUAAAACUCAAUCAAAUCUAUUUUAAAAAUUCGGUUUUUUAAAACUACCUAGAUAGUAGUCAAGACGCAUGGUGCUGGCAUAAGGAUAAACAUAUAGAUCAAUGGAAUAGAACUGAGAGUCCAGGAAAAAAUCCGUACAUUUAUGGUCAAUUAAUUUUCAACAAGGGUGCCAAGACAACUCAAUGGGGGAAAGAAUAGACUUUUCAACAAAUGAAGCUAGGAAAGCUAGAUAUCCACCAGAAAAAGAAUGAAGGUGAAGCCCUACUUCACACCAUAUACAGAAAUUAACUCAAAAUGGAUCAAAGACCUAAAUUUAAGGGGUAAAACUAUAAAACUCAUAAAACAACGUAGGUGUAUAUUUUUGUGACCUUGGGUUAGGCAAUGAUUUCUUAAAGACGACACCAAAAGUGCAAGGAAUCAACAUAAAUAAAAUAAAUUGGACUUCAUCAAAAUUAAAAUCUUUUAUGUUUCCAGGGACACUAUCAACAAAGUGAAAAGAAAACCCACAAAAUGAGAUAAAAUAUUUGCAAAUCAUAUAUCUCACAAGGGAUUUCCAUACAGAACAUAUAAAGAACACUUACAACUCAACAAUAAAAAGACAACCUAAAUAAAAAAUGGGCAAAGGAUUUGAAUAGACAUUUAUCUAAAGAAGAUAUAGGGCCAGCCCAGUGGUGUAGAGGUUAAGUGCAUGCACUUUGCUUUGGUGGCCUGGGAGUUUAUGGGUUCAGACCCCAAGCAUGGACUUUUACACUGUUCAUCAAGCCAUGCUAUGGCGGCAUCCCACAUACAAAAUAAAGGAAGAUUGGCACAAACGUUAGCUCAGAGACAAUCUUCCUCAAGCAAAAAGAGGAAGACCAGCAAUGGAUGUUCGUUCAGGGCCAAUCUUCUUCACCAAAAAAAAUAAAAAUAAAGAAGAUAUACACAGGGCCAAUAAGUCCAUGAAAAGAUGUUCAACAUCGUUAGCCAUCAGGGACAUUCAAAUAAAAACAAACGUGAUAUUCUUCAUACCCUCUAGUACACUAUGGCUAUAAUAAAAAAGACAGACAAUAAUAAGUGUUGUGAAGAUGUGGAGAAAUUGGAACCCUCAUACACUGCCAGUGGGAAAGCAAAAUGGUACAGCAGCUUUAAAAAUUUAAACAUAGAGUUGCGGCAUGACACAGUGAUUCCACUCCUAGAUAUAUGCCUAAGAGAAAUAAAAACAUAUGUCCACAUAAAAACUUGUUCACUAAUGUUCAUAGAAGCACUAUUUACAAUAGCCAAAACGUGGAAACAAUGCAAAUGAUAAGCACCUGGUGAAUGGAUAAAUAAAAUAUGCUGUAUCCAUGCAAUGGAAUAUGGUUCAGGCUUAAAAGGGAAUGAACUAUUGAUGCAUGCUACAACAUUGUUGAGUCUCAGAAACAUUAUGCUAAGUGAAAGAGGUCAGACACAAAAAAUCACAUACCUAUUACAUGAUUCCAUUUAUAUGAAAUGUGCAGAAUAGACAAACCGUAGACACAGAAAGUAGAUUAGUGGCUGCCAGGGGCUGGGAGGCAGGAAGUAUAGAGAAUGAUUGCUUAUGGCUACAGGGUGGUUUGGGGCGGGGAGUGUGGGGGAGAACAGGUGAUUAAAAUGUUCUGGAAUUAGGUAGUCGCAAUGCUUGCACAACUUCAUGAAUACACUAAAAAUUACCAAAUUAUAUACUUUACAGUGGUGCAUUUAUCAUAGGUGAAUUAUAUCUCAAUCAAAAAUAACUACCUAGAAACACACAAAAAAAGCUAAUCAUCUCUCUCCUCAUUCUUCAUUUAAUCUCGCCUCUCAUAUUAAAAUUUGGAUCUUUUUAUUUGCAGUCUUUUCUUCUUGUUCUUACAUACGUACAUGCACAUAAAAGGGGUUUUGUCUUUGUUUUCUAUCCUUAUAAAAAUGAAGUCAGUAUAUACACAACUUGCUUUCUUCACUUAACUUCUCAGAGAUGUCCCACCAAGUCAAUACAUAUAUAGAUUUAAUUUGCAUAAAAUUCAUCUCUUUGAUGUACCAUAAUUUAUUCUUUCCCCCCCAAUCUGAUGGUUUUAAAAUGGUCUCACAAUAUUUCACAUCAUCAAGUUGUACCCAUUAAAUUUAUACAAUUUAUAUGCCAAAGACAUCUCAAUAAAGUUGUUAAAAAAGAUAUUGAAAAAAACGGUGUCACAUAAGUCUUAUACAUACAUGUCUUUUGGUGUCAUAUAAACACAUUUCUGCCAGGUAUGUCUACCUAGGAAUAGAACUGUCAGAUUGGGGCCAGCCCGGUGGCGCAGCAGUUAAGCACCAACGUUCUGCUUUGGUGGCCCGGGUUUCGCAGGCUCGGAUCCCGGGUGCGGACAUGGCACUGCUUGGCACGCCAUGCUGUGGUAGGUGUCCCACAUAUAAAGUAGAGGAAGAUGGGCACAGAUGUUAGCUCAGGGCCAGUCUUCCUCAGCAAAAAGAGGAGGAUUGGCAGCAGUUAGCUCAGGGGUAAUCUUCCUGAAAAAAAAAAAACAAAAGAACUGUCAGAUCCUGGGAUGGUACCCAUCUUUUCAGUGUUAGUAGAUGAUGCCAGUUUGCCAAAGGGAUUGCAUCAAGGUCAAUUUCCACUAGUAAUAUAUGAGCAACCCAGUUGCUGUACAUCCUCACCAAAACUUGGUAUUUUCUGCUGUUUCAUUUUUAGCCAUUCUGAUGAAUGUGUAGUGGUAUUGCAUUGUAGCUUUUAUUUUGUUGUUGUUGAACUUUUUAUUGAAAUGCACGUAUCAUAAGUAUAUAUCUCAGUCGAUUUCCAUAACCUGAGUAUACCUCCGUAACCAACACCUAGAUUAAGAAACAGAGCAUUACUAGAACAUAUGCAUAUCCCAUGACCUAGCAAUUCUACUCCUAGGCAUAUAUCCAACAGAAAGGCAAGUUUACAUUCACCAAAAGACACAACUCAAGUUUGAUAACUGUUACCAUUUUGUCACAUUCCCCUCAAAUCUUAAUAUAUCUUAAUAAAAGAAACAAAGAGUUGCAGUUAAAGUUGAAGCCCCUUUUGACUUCCAAUCCCAGGCCUAUUACCCUCCCCUAGGUCCCUGGGCCCCAAGCCAACCGCUCAUAAAUUGUGUGUUUUUAUACCACUGCAUGCAUGUAUUUAUAUCCUUGAAUUCAUUGCCUUUUCCUGACUCCCAGUGAUACCGAGCACCUUCUCCUAUUCUUUCUUCUGUGAACUGCCUGUUCACAUCACUGGCUCAUUUUUCUCUUGUGUUGUCUUUUGUUUAUUAAUUUGUAGGAGCCUUUGUUUAUUAGGAUAUUUACCAUUUUCUGUCAUUUUUAUCACAAACAUUUUUCCUCACUUUUUCUUUUCACUUUCUGGUAUCUUUUGCUUUGCAAAAAAUAUUAAUUUUUACAUAGUCGAACAUGUCUAUUUUUUUCUUUAAUUUCUCUGGGUUUCCUGUCUUGCUUAAGAAGACCUCUCCAUCCCCAAGGUUAUACAAAUAUUCCCUCAUAUUUAUUUCUAAUGUUUUAUUGUUUAUAUUUAGAUUUGUUUGCAAAGCACCAUAUCAGACACUACACGGGACACACAUGGACACCCUGGGGUGGGCCGGGAGAGAAUUGCCUACAUGGGAAAGAUGAGGUUGAAACCACUUUUGUCUUCUUUUGCUAUAUAGUUGAUGAAAAAGAAAAAUAUAUACCACUAAAAAUUACUCCAGCAGCUAGGCUACCAUUAGCAGGAAGUAGAAAAAUAUUAACCGUUUGAUAAAAUGAAAUCAGAUGAGGAUUUUUAAUCUGCAACUUUUUUCUGGUGGUAUUCAAAAGAUGUGGUAGUCCUAGAAGAAAAAAAAAAGGCGGGGGGCGGGGGGGAGCGCUGGCCCAGUGGCCAAAUGGUUAAGUUUGCCUGCUCUACUUUGGCGGCAGAGGGUUUCACUGGUUCAGACCCUGGGCACAGACCUAGUACCACUCAUCAGGUCAUGCUGAGGCAGCGUCCCACAUAGUAGCACCAGAAGGACCUACAACUAGAACAUACCACUAUGUACUAGGGGUUUUGGGGAGAAGAAGAAGAAAAAAAGAUUGGCAACAGAUGUUAGCUCAGGGCCAAUCUUUAAAAACAAAAAAAAUGUGGUAGUCCUGAAACUAUUCUAGUUCCUUUCUAGGUAACGACAAGGCCUAGGGAUGAGCAUUGACAACAGCUGAAAAUAGCUGCUUAACUUUAAAUACCAGACAAAGCCAUUUUUGGCGUUUGGUAUUUCUUUACCAACGCUGGCUCUCUUUGCUUUGUUCUCAUCGGGCGCUCCCCCGCAAGAGCAAAGGACUUUUUAACAACGGAGGGGCAUGGAGGAAGUGAGGUCUCUAAACAAAUAUUGUCGUUGCUCCCACUACCCAGACUCCUAAAUAUACUAUAUCUGAUUUCAGACUUUCCCAGCAAGGAUCAGAACAUACCAUCACUCAUAACUGAAGCAGUCACCUUGAGCUAAACUUGAAGAAUAGAGUUGGCGCUUACUUUGUUAAGCGGCGGAGAGCUGCCCAAACUUUUGGAGGCUGCUUCACCCCAGCUCGCUUCAGGUAGUAGUGGAAUCUGGAAGCCACAAAUGGGACAUAUCUGAUUUACAUAACAUAAACUAUCUGACUUAAUCGAAAUCCUCGGGAACUGUUUCCGCUCGCCCCCUUCUGGCCGAGUAAGCUCACGUCGCUAAAUGAGCCAUUUUAUUCCUCGCAGCUGCCCGCAAACGCAGACCUGGACGCAGAAAUGCUGUCGGCCGUGCGAGGGCGAGGUUCCAUUUGGAAAGGAUACAAGGUUUAAACUUUACUUAGCUCAUUUUUCAACAUUUGAUGGUAGAUAAACCAACGGCCCAUUCAACUCCCCUGAAAGUUUCCCAUAGGUUAAUUGAGGGGAAAAAGUGUUAUUUUGUUUGGGCUUUUCCUUAAAGCCAAUUAAAACCCUUUCUUGCGGAUGUGUUUUGCCUUAGCGAUGAGAAGGGAGACAUGUUUAGGGAGAG